CAGCUUCAAACAUUUGUGCUUUAAAGGGUCCCCAGGAGGUCAACUCAUUUGGGCUAUUUCGGAUCUUGUUGGGAUUAAGUAAGGUAAGCCUUAUGGAACCAGGAGGUGGCAGUGGAGAACACACUGCAAAGCUAUGAGAUUACCAAAAGGAUAUUUCCUGUGCUUUCUCUGCUCACUACAGAGGUGCAUGCUACUAUUGUGUAAUUCUAGCAAAGAAAAAACAUUCUGAGCAUACAGCUUGACACAGGCCACAGCUAAUGCAUGAAUCUCUUCCCCUAAUGGAAGGGGCUUCUUUCAUGGAGAGUAUCCCGCUCCUAAUCACUUGGUAGUGGGGACUACACAACAUGGAACCAUUAUUAAAAUUUCAAGUCUGUAAAUAUGAUGAUUUAACAAAUAAAACCAAUAUGGGGGGUCCAGUCACAAAAAAGUGGAGAAAGAAAAUGGGGAAUGAAUAUAGAAACUAUAGUGGCUAUAGAUCUUGCACUCCUGUAGCAAGCGGGACUUUAUAUGCCAGUUUAACCAUGCACUAUUUGUUAUAUUAAACGUACAGUUUAACUUUAGUCUUUCCAGUGGAAUCAGAUCAGUGUUUCUCUACACCAUCCCAUGCAUGAGAAAAAUAGUAAUUUUCACAUGUCCCCUUGAUGAGAUUAUUCCAGGGAGUUCAGCGAAGAAACAGUUCUGCUUUCUCACUUAGCCAUAACGGAUUUAUGAGCACAACUCCCAUUACCUUUAAUGGGAGUGUGUGGGGCGGGAGUUACCUCAAUAACUCUCUCACAUCACUGGAAUUAUUGAUCCCCCUAGUCUUGUUUAGCAAGACUGUUCUAUAAAAUGUGUGACCCUUGUCCUGGGCUAUAUACUAGCUCAAUAAAUUAAUUUUUAACAGAGCAAAUAUUGAUUUAAUGAAUAUAUAGUAUAUAUAACACUCAUUUGUGGG
Long non-coding RNA from Mauremys reevesii (Reeves's turtle), 934 nucleotides. RefSeq lists it as uncharacterized. Lineage: Eukaryota; Metazoa; Chordata; Testudines; Geoemydidae. The transcript has 4 exons. The record is from RefSeq and is a predicted model, not a curated record.